This 69-nucleotide small RNA is filed under the name Salmonella enterica. Its description in RNAcentral is "partial RtT sRNA". It matches the Rfam family "RtT RNA", at positions 1 to 69 of the family's 130-position model. Rfam says of the family: This family represents a bacterial cis-regulatory element known as RtT RNA. The exact function of RtT is unknown although it is thought that it may be involved in changing the cellular response in relation to amino acid starvation. Lineage: Bacteria; Pseudomonadati; Pseudomonadota; Gammaproteobacteria; Enterobacterales; Enterobacteriaceae. The record is from RNAcentral.
UAUCUCUCCGUACGGGGAAGGAUGAGAAGCUUCGACUAAGGUUCGAUUCGAGCGCAGCGAGAAAACGUU